UUCAAAUCAUAAACCUUAGAUGCAAUCCAAUUAUGUGACCUAACUUUUGAUUUUUUUCAUAACUAAAACCCUCAUGCAUAAACACAAAUUUUAGAUUUCAAUACUAAAUUUUAGAUCUAAAUUCUUUACAUAAAAGGUAAGUUUUAAAUCAUAAAAUAAUUUUUAGAUUUAACAUACAAACAUAUAUCUCAUAUAUGCAAGUAUCUGACCUCUAUGGGUAUCCACUC
This 227-nucleotide long non-coding RNA is filed under the name Elaeis guineensis (African oil palm). RNAcentral's name for it is "long non-coding RNA (EGUI_LNC059752)". The record is from RNAcentral. Lineage: Eukaryota; Viridiplantae; Streptophyta; Magnoliopsida; Arecales; Arecaceae.